This 73-nucleotide transfer RNA is filed under the name Marmota monax (woodchuck). RNAcentral describes it as "tRNA.Ala". Lineage: Eukaryota; Metazoa; Chordata; Mammalia; Rodentia; Sciuridae. The record is from RNAcentral.
GGGGUUGUGACUCAGUGGCAGAGCAUGCCCGCCUAGCAAGUGCGAGGCCCUGGGUUCGAUCCUCAGCACCACG